RNAcentral lists this ribosomal RNA (251 nucleotides) under uncultured prokaryote. RNAcentral's name for it is "partial 16S rRNA". It matches the Rfam family "Bacterial small subunit ribosomal RNA", at positions 525 to 775 of the family's 1533-position model. The record is from RNAcentral.
ACGUAGGUGUCGAGCGUUGUUCGGAUUCAUUGGGCGUAAAGGGUCCGCAGGUGGCCAGCUAAGUCUGAUGUGAAAUCCCGGAGCUCAACUCCGGAACUGCAUUGGAAACUGACUGGCUAGAGCAUCGGAGAGGAGAUUGGAAUUCCAGGUGUAGCGAUAAAAUGCGUAGAUAUCUGGAAGAACACCGAAAGCGAAGGCAGAUCUCUGGACGAUCGCUGACCCUCAGGGACGAAAGCAUGGGGAGCAAACAG